AGAGUUUGAUCAUGGCUCAGAACGAACGCUGGCGGCAGGCUUAACACAUGCAAGUCGAACGGGCCCUUCGGGGUCAGUGGCAGACGGGUGAGUAACGCGUGGGAACGUGCCCUUCAGUUCGGAAUAACCCAGGGAAACUUGGGCUAAUACCGGAUACGUGCGAGAGCAGAAAGAUUUAUCGCUGAAGGAUCGGCCCGCGUCUGAUUAGCUAGUUGGUGGGGUAAUGGCCCACCAAGGCGACGAUCAGUAGCUGGUCUGAGAGGAUGAUCAGCCACAUUGGGACUGAGACACGGCCCAAACUCCUACGGGAGGCAGCAGUGGGGAAUAUUGGACAAUGGGCGCAAGCCUGAUCCAGCCAUGCCGCGUGAGUGAUGAAGGCCUUAGGGUUGUAAAGCUCUUUCAGUGGGGACGAUAAUGACGGCACCCGCAGAAGAAGCCCCGGCUAACUUCGUGCUAGCAGCCGCGGUAAUC
Molecule: ribosomal RNA, 471 nt
Filed under: uncultured bacterium
Lineage: Bacteria
Description: bacterial SSU rRNA
Rfam family: Bacterial small subunit ribosomal RNA
Source: RNAcentral